Non-coding RNA from Callorhinus ursinus (northern fur seal), 830 nucleotides. The record is from RefSeq and is a predicted model, not a curated record. Lineage: Eukaryota; Metazoa; Chordata; Mammalia; Carnivora; Otariidae.
CAAAAAGGAUUCUUUUCGGGCGGUGCGAGGGCUGCUGCACAGCUAGCAGAGCCGCGGUCCGGGCGGCAGCGCGUGCCCCGAGCUCUCCGCCUCCCCCCGCCCGCCAGCCCGCGGCGCCCGAGCCCAGCCCGCGGCCCCAGCAGCAGCGCCAUGGCCCGGUGGGACGCCUACAUCCACAACCUCAUGGCGGACGGGACCUGUCAGGACGCGGCCAUCGUGGGCUAUAAGGACUCGCCCUCCGUCUGGGCCGCCGUCCCCGGGAAAACCUUUGUCAACAUCACGCCAGCUGAGGUCGGUGUCCUGGUUGGCAAAGACCGGUCAAGUUUUUUCGUGAACGGGCUGACACUUGGGGGCCAGAAAUGUUCUGUUAUCCGGGACUCACUGCCGCAGGGUGGGGAAUUUACCAUGGAUCUUCGUACCAAGAGCACCGGGGGAGCCCCCACUUUCAACAUCACUGUCACCAUGACUGCCAAGACGCUAGUCCUGCUCAUGGGCGAAGAAGGUGUCCACGGUGAUAUGAUCAACAAGAAAUGCUAUGAAAUGGCCUCCCACCUGCGGCGUUCCCAGUACUGACCUCGUCCGUCCCUUCCCACCACCACUCCCCACGGCUUUUGCACCCCUCUCCUUCCCAGACACACACAUACACCAUUUUUAUUUUGGGGGCCAUUACCCCACACCCCUUAUUGCUGCCAAAACCACAUGGGCUGGGGGCUGGGGCUGGAUGGACAGACACCUCCCCCUACCCAAACCCCUCCUGUGUGUGGUUGGAAAACUUUUUGGGUGGGGGGUUUGUUUUUGUUUUUGUUUUUCUGAAUAAAAAAGAUUCUACU